This 395-nucleotide ribosomal RNA is filed under the name uncultured bacterium. RNAcentral's name for it is "bacterial SSU rRNA". It matches the Rfam family "Bacterial small subunit ribosomal RNA", at positions 30 to 428 of the family's 1533-position model. The record is from RNAcentral.
AUUGAACGCUGGCGGCAUGCCUUACACAUGCAAGUCGAACGGCAGCACGGGAGCAAUCCUGGUGGCGAGUGGCGAACGGGUGAGUAAUAUAUCGGAACGUGCCCAGUCGUGGGGAUAACGUAGCGAAAGCUACGCUAAUACCGCAUACGAUCUAUGGAUGAAAGCGGGGGAUCGCAAGACCUCGCGCGAUUGGAGCGGCCGAUAUCAGAUUAGGUAGUUGGUGAGGUAAAGGCUCACCAAGCCGACGAUCUGUAGCUGGUCUGAGAGGACGACCAGCCACACUGGGACUGAGACACGGCCCAGACUCCUACGGGAGGCAGCAGUGGGGAAUUUUUGGACAAUGGGCGCAAGCCUGAUCCAGCAAUGCCGCGUGCAGGAUGAAGGCCUCGGUGUAC